UUGAAUAAAUACCACUAAUUAUUUUACAUCUAUAAUAUUUCAGACAUUUGAUUUGUUUUAACAUCCAAUGUAGAGUUUUAAAAGUUAAAAAUAAAUGUGAUGCUGCUUAAAGAUAUAAUUAGCUUGACUUAAACUGUACUGUAUAAUGUGAACAUUUACAAGUACUUCAUACAUUUCACUUGAAUUUACAUCUGUUAUUAUUGCUCUUUCUUUGUAGGCUCAAGUGGAAGGCGAAUGCUGCUGUUCUUCCUUGAGCUUAAAGACAUCGGACUACAGAGUGCUGCUCCGGACACUGCAGCAUUUUCAAGAUCAGUCAUCAAAAAGCUGCUAUUUUUUCGGUCUGUGAGAAAUCAACACAGAAGAUGGCUACUCCCCAGAGAUUUGUGCUACGUGUAUAUGUUGCAACAGAUGUUGCCAUGAAACUUACUCUAACGGAGCGACCAACCUCUGUAGAAGAGCUUAUGGACGUAAUGAAAGAGAAGUUCAGGCCAAGACUGGAUGGUGACUUUACCUUGCAAUAUGAGGAUCCUGACUUCGGCGGUCAACUUACUGUUCUUGCGGAUAUUCAGGAGUUGCCUGAGAAGGGCACAUUGAGAAUACUGAGAUCUGAAAGUGAUGCCACCUCAACCGGAAGUUCCGAUACAGACAUACUCCCACAUGUACCUUUAACACAGCGUCAGAAGAACUGUCCGGAUUGUUUCCCUCUGCCUACUUUUUCAUAUGAAGUGCAGCAUGUACUCGAAGAAGGAAAUGGUGUUUUUGAGAGAUCCAGAAAGAAUGUGAAUUUGACAAGGUCCCAAAAGCACAACAUCCUGGAAAGCAUGGCUGAAACCAUGCACAGCUUCAAACCAUAUCCAAAUGACAGUGAAGUGGGUAAGGCUGCUGAAGCUCUGAUUAAAGCUCACCCGUGUCUCACAGAGUAUGGCAGCAAAAGUGGAUGGUAUGGAUGGAAGGUCUGCUUGAAGUUCAAGAUGGGGAACUACCGUACCAAGCUUGCCAGAGCUGGGUGCGCUGAGGUGUCAGUUAACGCAGGCAGGAGGAGCGUAAACAACCCGGACAGAGAACAUCCCCAUUCAAACAUAAGGAGAGCCAGGCGGGCUGAAGUAAACUUCCUACCCAACUUUCCAAGAGGAGAGAACGAGGCCACUCUGGAAC
Molecule: long non-coding RNA, 1155 nt
Organism: Gadus morhua (Atlantic cod)
Lineage: Eukaryota; Metazoa; Chordata; Actinopteri; Gadiformes; Gadidae
Exons: 3
Source: RefSeq, a predicted model, not a curated record